Molecule: long non-coding RNA, 1075 nt
Organism: Gigantopelta aegis
Lineage: Eukaryota; Metazoa; Mollusca; Gastropoda; Neomphalida; Peltospiridae
Exons: 2
Source: RefSeq, a predicted model, not a curated record
UAUUACAGUCUAGAUCAAGAAUCUGUUUGUGUAUUACAGUCUAGAUAAACAAUAUGUUUUUGUAUUACAGUCUAGAUCAAGAAUCUGUUUGUGUAUUACAGUCUAGAUCAAGAAUCUGUUUGUGUAUUACAGUCUAGAUAAAUAAUAUGUUUUUGUAUUACAGUCUAGAUCAAGAAUCUGUUUGUGUAUUACAGUCUAGAUCAAGAAUCUGUUUGUGUAUUACAGUCUAGAUCAAGAAUCUGUUUGUGUAUUACAGUCUACAUAAACAAUAUGACGAAUUCAGUAAUUGGUGAGACGACAUAGCAGUGAUUGGAGAAUGGUUUAACGACGUUCAUCAUCGGCUUCAACCGUGUUUCAAGAACGACAGACUUUAAAACGCAUACACGAAUUGGGCGUAAAACAGACAGAACACAACGUAUUUGUUUUAGUUUCUAAAUAGCAUUUAUAAAUUGUGUUCAGUUAUUACUUGUUAAAAGUGUGCAUGGAUGUUAUCAACACCCUGUGUACCAUAACGUGCUGUAUCGGACAUUUUCUGAUUGCAAGUGAGUAAACAGACUCAAAAAGAGAAAGACAGAUUCGCUAGUAAACUUGUAAAAUCUAUAGCAACAAAGGUCCUCCGACUUGUAGUAAUAGAAGAGUAGUUCGACAGUAGCCGUGUAAAGCGAAUCCAGCUUAGUUUGACAAACCAGUAGUAAUAGAAGAGUAGUUCGACAGUAGCCGUGUAAAGCGAAUCCAGCUUAGUUUGACAAACCAGUAGUAAUAGAAGAGUAGUUCGACAGUAGCCGUGUAAAGCGAAUCCAGCUUAGUUUGACAAACCAUUCACAAAGGCCAAAUAACAGUAGUUUAUAGAUUUAUUACACACUAUUUUUGACUUUGAAUUAAUAGUGUUCUAUGAAUGAAUGCAUGAAUGAAUGAAUGCAUGAAUGAAUGAAUGAAUGAAUGUUUAACGUCAUCCCAACCUAAUUUCAGCUACUGGAUGUCAGAAAAAGGUAUGUGAACGAAGGAAAGUUGGUGAAACAUUCACCAAAACAAUGUGUGGAGCUGUGGUUAGUAAUAAACAGACGUUUAAAAUGUA